GACAGAGGUGCCGAGCGUUAGGCGGAAUCACUGGGCUUAAAGCGUGUGUAGGCGGUCCGUUAAGUGCCUUGUGAAAUCCCCCGGCUCAACCGGGGAACGGCUGGGCAGACUGGCGGACUUGAGACACUCAGGGGUCAGCGGAACAAAUGGUGGAGCGGUGAAAUGCGUAGAUAUCAUUUGGAACGCCGAUGGUGAAAAACAGCUGACUGGGGGGUGUUCUGACGCUGAGACACGAAAGCCAGGGGAGCAAACGGG
This 255-nucleotide ribosomal RNA is filed under the name uncultured bacterium. RNAcentral describes it as "partial 16S ribosomal RNA". It matches the Rfam family "Bacterial small subunit ribosomal RNA", at positions 524 to 776 of the family's 1533-position model. The record is from RNAcentral.